Molecule: ribosomal RNA, 497 nt
Filed under: uncultured bacterium
Lineage: Bacteria
Description: partial 16S ribosomal RNA
Rfam family: Bacterial small subunit ribosomal RNA
Source: RNAcentral
GAUGAACGCUGGCGGCGUGCCUAAUACAUGCAAGUCGAGCGAACAGACGAGGAGCUUGCUCCUCUGACGUUAGCGGCGGACGGGUGAGUAACACGUGGAUAACCUACCUAUAAGACUGGGAUAACUUCGGGAAACCGGAGCUAAUACCGGAUAAUAUAUUGAACCGCAUGGUUCAAUAGUGAAAGACGGUUUUGCUGUCACUUAUAGAUGGAUCCGCGCCGCAUUAGCUAGUUGGUAGGGUAACGGCUUACCAAGGCGACGAUGCGUAGCCGACCUGAGAGGGUGAUCGGCCACACUGGAACUGAGACACGGUCCAGACUCCUACGGGAGGCAGCAGUAGGGAAUCUUCCGCAAUGGGCGAAAGCCUGACGGAGCAACGCCGCGUGAGUGAUGAAGGUCUUCGGAUCGUAAAACUCUGUUAUUAGGGAAGAGCAAAUGUGUAAGUAACUAUGCACGUCUUGACGGUACCUAAUCAGAAAGCCACGGCUAACUACGUG